RNAcentral lists this ribosomal RNA (519 nucleotides) under uncultured bacterium. RNAcentral's name for it is "partial 16S ribosomal RNA". It matches the Rfam family "Bacterial small subunit ribosomal RNA", at positions 28 to 507 of the family's 1533-position model. The record is from RNAcentral.
GACGAACGCUGGCGGCGUGCCUAAUACAUGCAAGUCGAGCGAGUCUGCCUUGAAGAUCGGAGUGCUUGCACUCUGUGAAACAAGAUACAGGCUAGCGGCGGACGGGUGAGUAACACGUGGGUAACCUGCCCAAGAGAUCGGGAUAACACCUGGAAACAGAUGCUAAUACCGGAUAACAACAGAUGAUGCCUAUCAACUGUUUAAAAGAUGGUUCUGCUAUCACUCUUGGAUGGAUCUGCGGUGCAUUAGCUAGUUGGUAGGGUAACGGCCUACCAAGGCGAUGAUGCAUAGCCGAGUUGAGAGACUGAUCGGCCACAUUGGGACUGAGACACGGCCCAAACUCCUACGGGAGGCAGCAGUAGGGAAUCUUCCACAAUGGACGCAAGUCUGAUGGAGCAACGCCGCGUGAGUGAAGAAGGGUUUCGGCUCGUAAAGCUCUGUUGUUGGUGAAGAAGGACAGGGGUAGUAACUGACCUUUGUUUGACGGUAAUCAAUUAGAAAGUCACGGCUAACUACGUG